This 425-nucleotide ribosomal RNA is filed under the name uncultured bacterium. Its description in RNAcentral is "bacterial SSU rRNA". It matches the Rfam family "Bacterial small subunit ribosomal RNA", at positions 355 to 775 of the family's 1533-position model. The record is from RNAcentral.
UCGAGAAUCUUCGGCAAUGCGCGCAAGCGUGACCGAGCGACGCCGUGUGUGGGAUGAAGGCCUUCGGGUUGUAAACCACUGUCGUAGAGGAGGAAGUUGAUUGGGGUUCUCCCCAGUCAUUGACCUAUUCUAGGAGGAAGGACGGGCUAAGUACGUGCCAGCAGCCGCGGUAAUACGUACCGUCCAAACGUUAUUCGGAAUUACUGGGCUUAAAGGGUACGUAGGCGGCGCUGUUAGUCGGGUGUGAAAUCCCUCGGCUCAACCGAGGAAUUGCGCCCGAUACUGCAGUGCUUGAGGGAGACAGAGGUAAGCGGAACUGAUGGUGGAGCGGUGAAAUGCGUUGAUAUCAUCAGGAACACCAGUGGCGAAAGCGGCUUACUGGGUCUCUUCUGACGCUGAGGUACGAAAGCUAGGGGAGCGAAGGG